GAGUGAAAAAGAACCUGAAACCGUGUACGUACAAGCAGUGGGAGCACGCUUCGGCGUGUGACUGCGUACCUUUUGUAUAAUGGGUCAGCGACUUAUAUUCUGUAGCAAGGUUAACCGAAUAGGGGAGCCGAAGGGAAACCGAGUCUUAACUGGGCGUUAAGUUGCAGGGUAUAGACCCGAAACCCGGUGAUCUAGCCAUGGGCAGGUUGAAGGUUGGGUAACACUAACUGGAGGACCGAACCGACUAAUGUUGAAAAAUUAGCGGAUGACUUGUGGCUGGGGGUGAAAGGCCAAUCAAACCGGGAGAUAGCUGGUUCUCCCCGAAAGCUAUUUAGGUAGCGCCUCGUGAAUUCAUCUCCGGGGGUAGAGCACUGUUUCGGCAAGGGGGUCAUCCCGACUUACCAACCCGAUGCAAACUGCGAAUACCGGAGAAUGUUAUCACGGGAGACACACGGCGGGUGCUAACGUCCGUCGUGAAGAGGGAAACAACCCAGACCGCCAGCUAAGGUCCCAAAGUCAUGGUUAAGUGGGAAACGAUGUGGGAAGGCCCAGACAGCCAGGAUGUUGGCUUAGAAGCAGCCAUCAUUUAAAGAAAGCGUAAUAGCUCACUGGUCGAGUCGGCCUGCGCGGAAGAUGUAACGGGGCUAAACCAUGCACCGAAGCUGCGGCAGCGACACUAUGUGUUGUUGGGUAGGGGAGCGUUCUGUAAGCCUGUGAAGGUGUGCUGUGAGGCAUGCUGGAGGUAUCAGAAGUGCGAAUGCUGACAUAAGUAACGAUAAAGCGGGUGAAAAGCCCGCUCGCCGGAAGACCAAGGGUUCCUGUCCAACGUUAAUCGGGGCAGGGUGAGUCGACCCCUAAGGCGAGGCCGAAAGGCGUAGUCGAUGGGAAACAGGUUAAUAUUCCUGUACUUGGUGUUACUGCGAAGGGGGGACGGAGAAGGCUAUGUUGGCCGGGCGACGGUUGUCCCGGUUUAAGCGUGUAGGCUGGU
Molecule: ribosomal RNA, 988 nt
Filed under: Escherichia coli
Lineage: Bacteria; Pseudomonadati; Pseudomonadota; Gammaproteobacteria; Enterobacterales; Enterobacteriaceae
Description: partial 23S ribosomal RNA
Rfam family: Bacterial large subunit ribosomal RNA
Source: RNAcentral